GAUGAACGCUGGCGGCGUGCCUAAUACAUGCAAGUCGAGCGAACAGACGAGGAUCUUGCUCCUCUGACGUUAGCCGCGGGCGGGUGAGUAACACGUGGAUCACCUACCUAUAAGACUGGGAUAACUUCGGGAAACCGGCGCUAAUACCGUAUAAUAUAUUGAACCGCAUGGUUCAAUAGUAAAAGUCGGUUUUGCUGUCACUUAUAGAUGGAUCCGCGCCGCAUUAGCUAGUUGGUAAGGUCACAGCUUACCAAGGCAACGCUGCGUAGACGACCGGAGAGAGGGAUAGGCCACAUGGGAACGGAGACAGGGACAAGACUACUAAGGGAGGGAGCAGUCGGGAACCUUCCGCAAUGGGCGAAAGCCUGACGGAGUAACGGCGAGUGAGUGAUGAAGGUCCUCGGAUCGUAAAACUCUGUUAUUAGUGAAGAACAAAUGUGUAAGGAACUAUGCCCGUAUUGACGGUACCGAAUCAGAAAGCCACGGCUAACUACGUG
RNAcentral lists this ribosomal RNA (497 nucleotides) under uncultured bacterium. RNAcentral describes it as "partial 16S ribosomal RNA". It matches the Rfam family "Bacterial small subunit ribosomal RNA", at positions 28 to 507 of the family's 1533-position model. The record is from RNAcentral.